This 253-nucleotide ribosomal RNA is filed under the name uncultured bacterium. RNAcentral describes it as "partial 16S ribosomal RNA". It matches the Rfam family "Bacterial small subunit ribosomal RNA", at positions 524 to 776 of the family's 1533-position model. The record is from RNAcentral.
UACGUAGGGUGCGAGCGUUGUCCGGAAUUAUUGGGCGUAAAGGGCUCGUAGGCGGUCUGUUGCGUCAGGAGUGAAAACUCGGGGCUUAACCCCGAGCCUGCUUCUGAUACGGGCAGACUAGAGGUAUGCAGGGGAGAACGGAAUUCCUGGUGUAGCGGUGAAAUGCGCAGAUAUCAGGAGGAACACCGGUGGCGAAGGCAGCUUACUAGGCUGUAACUGACGCUGAGGCGCGAAAGUGUGGGGAUCAAACAGG